UACGUAGGGGGCUAGCGUUGUCCGGAAUCAUUGGGCGUAAAGCGCGUGUAGGCGGCCCGGUAAGUCCGCUGUGAAAGUCGGGGGCUCAACCCUCGGAUGCCGGUGGAUACUGUCGGGCUCGAGUACGGAAGAGGCGAGUGGAAUUCCUGGUGUAGCGGUGAAAUGCGCAGAUAUCGGGAGGAACACCAGUAGCGAAGGCGGCUCGCUGGGCCAUUCCUGACGCUGAGACGCGAAAGCUAGGGGAGCGAACAGG
This 253-nucleotide ribosomal RNA is filed under the name uncultured bacterium. RNAcentral's name for it is "partial 16S ribosomal RNA". It matches the Rfam family "Bacterial small subunit ribosomal RNA", at positions 524 to 776 of the family's 1533-position model. The record is from RNAcentral.